Chiroxiphia lanceolata (lance-tailed manakin) is the source of this 507-nucleotide long non-coding RNA. RefSeq lists it as uncharacterized. The record is from RefSeq and is a predicted model, not a curated record. Lineage: Eukaryota; Metazoa; Chordata; Aves; Passeriformes; Pipridae. The transcript has 2 exons.
AGCGUUCCAUAAGGUCACGCAGGAGGAUACUGCUCAAAGCACACUCCAUGUACAGGCACAAGAAGACAUCGAUUGACUGGUCACUUAGCUGCUAUUAAGAAACCCCCUAUUUCUAAAUUGUCUUUUCCAUGGCUCUUUCAGAUCCAAACCAUGACAAACACACUUUCUGUCCUCAAUUAUUUGGACUUUCUGUUGAGCAAAGUGUUACCCAACAUCUCUCAAUCUAGCCACAACUAAGAGGUAUACCAGGAGUGAGAAGUGUGUGGGACAUCAUCUGAAGGUUGCCUGUGAAUUCAGCAUUCGAGUGACCAAGACACAACAUCAAAUAGAGACCUUCAGGCUAGUUCUUCAUGGAAUGAUACAAAACCCACCCGGACCAAGGAUACACUGAGAAAUCGGUCCAUAUUCUUCCAAAGCCUGUCUGAACUGUAUAUAAACCAAAGGAACCUUUUUGACAGUCCUGAUCAGAAUUAAGAAUUUGAAAUAAAAUGAGAUAACAUGAUUUUA